CUGUCAAUGUCUUAUGACACAUAAUUUGGCCUUGAUUCAGCAGCAGUGCCUGAUAUUGCCAUGUAACGUUAUAAGCCAUUCAUUGCUUGCAUGUUUGUUAGCAAGCUAACUAGUUACUUGCAUACCGGUAACUUAAAACGAGAAGGUUAACCAAAGAUAGUGGUCAAAUUAAGAGGUCUCCCUCAAACCGUUUACCAAAAGGUCACAGUUCCAGUCCACUUAAUGGGUGUCGUUGGAUAGGGAAAAGUUUACGCCCGUUGUUGGUUCUCGGAACACCUGACCAAGCCCGCUGCUUCUGGGGCGGGGCAGAGCUCAGCCUGAGUGAGUUCCGCUCCCUCUGACCCUGGUCCCUGUCUCCAGUUCCACGUCUCGUCAUCACUCUACUCUGUCCUGGAUUCCCCACUCUACUACUCCCUUGGAUUCCCUUCCGGACCUGCUUACCCUGUCCUAACCCCUCUCGCUCCAGCCUCAGCCUCCGUACCUGGUUUUCUGCAACCCACCCAAGCUUCCCCUGGCCUGCACUCCAUCUUCCCCCUGUCUUUCAAUAAAUACCUUGGUUACUUCAUCCCA
Long non-coding RNA from Oncorhynchus nerka (sockeye salmon), 570 nucleotides. RefSeq lists it as uncharacterized. The record is from RefSeq and is a predicted model, not a curated record. Lineage: Eukaryota; Metazoa; Chordata; Actinopteri; Salmoniformes; Salmonidae. The transcript has 3 exons.